Long non-coding RNA from Parus major (Great Tit), 4421 nucleotides. RefSeq lists it as uncharacterized. Lineage: Eukaryota; Metazoa; Chordata; Aves; Passeriformes; Paridae. The record is from RefSeq and is a predicted model, not a curated record. The transcript has 3 exons.
UCCAGAUCAUCACUUCUCUGAUGGUUAGAAGUAUAGUUAUGCAGAUUAAUUUACAUUUAUUUUGUUUUGAUAUCUUGUGUGUAGGUAACAAUGAUCUGUAUAUAUGUGUGUAUAUAUAUAUUUAUGAUAUAUUGGAUAUAUUUAAUAAAUAUGCACUCUGGAUAGGGUUUGUUUUGUUUUUUCAGACUCCGCUUUUGAAACAGGCUCACUGCUUCUUGGUCACUCUCAUCUUUUCAUUGCACUUAUUCCCAUUAAUACUUUCAUUCUUAAUAAGCCUAACAAGUACCAUGUGCAAAAGCAUUGUUCCUUCCCUAUGUCUUCUGGAAAAUCCUGGGUGAUUUAAAUUUUAGGACUGUGUUUAAGCUUCUCUACCAAAAUCAAAUUGAUGACUCUUGAUCAUCUUUUGAUUAGUUAUUAUUCCAAUGUCCUUCUCCUCUGUCAACUUUCAAUUUAUAACCUUUUGGUUUAUGGCAGAAAUUAUUUCCCAAUGAAUGACUUUACCAUUUUUACUUUUCAAUUUUCUUUUUUAUUUUGUUUUAUUUUUUAAUUUGUUUUCUUUUUUCUCUCUGGAACUGCUCUGAGUUGUUAUGAAGGAGAAGUUGGUGUACGUGUCAGAGUAAACAUAAUAAAUAAAAAACAAUUCUUGGCCAUAAAAUGUGUUCUAGGAAUCCUGCUAGUAUUCAUGGGAAUGGUGAGUAGUUUUAAUUUUAUUUGAGUGCAUGUAGUAUUACACAGAACAGCAAUCUUUUUGUUCAAGACUGACAUGAGGGAUUGCAGUUUGUUUCACGUGUACCUUUUACUAUACAUGUUUUUAAAUCUUGAAAUGUAUUAAUUAAAUUAAUUAAUUUAAAAAAUUAAUAUUUGAUAUGUCAGUUAUAAUUUGGCAGGGUUUAUCACAAAAAACAAUAGAUGUUAUAUGUUUGUACAAGGCAAGCGAUGGCUUUAAGCUGAAACCUUGUGGCUUUCAACAUUAAAUGUAAGAUGGCUUGAGAGUGCCACACAAAUAACCUUUCAAAACAUCUCUUAUAAAUUGUCUAACAGAUGAUAAGUACAGGUUUUGAAAAGUGCAGGAGAGGAAUCCAGAUGGUGGGGUAGUGUAGGAAAGAUCAGUCACUCAUUUUGGUCAAACAAGGAAUAUGGACACGCAUCCCCCACCCUCAAAAAAAAAGUCUGGUGCUUAAUCUGCUUAUAGGGCAGGCUGAUAACUGGAAUGAUGAGGCUGGUAACAAAAGAAAUGUAAUGGGAAAAUGAUCUGCUCAACGUGUAAUUAAUACUAGCAUCUGUCACCAUUUAAUGAAUGCUACACUAAUCAGAAGAUUUUGUCAUGUUAGUAAAAUGUUCAGCUACUUACCCACAAAAAAGACUGGCAUGGUACAUUCACAAGGCUGCCAUGGUUCCGUGCAGUAUUCCACACAUGAUCUGCUCACAGAACAGCCAGGAUAACUGAACUCUGUCAAAUACACAACUGCAGAAUUGUGUGUUUGGCCAGAGAUCAGAAACUUGGUUCUCUGAAAGAUACACACAGGACAUGUAGGUGAGCAAACAGCGUAAGUAACCAGGCAAACAGUUCUGAUGAAUGUUCUUGUUCUUUACCCCUCAUUGCUCCUAUUGUUUAGUGUUCGCCUCUACGUCUUCAAUCAGUUUCUGAUUAAAUCAAUACAUUCUAAGCACAGCCCAUUAUUUUGGAUACUGAAUACUACAGUAUUUUCUUAAAAGAUCCUAUAAUUAGUUGUUUCAAUUUUAAAAAUACAGGGUUUUUUCUGGCUUUUUUAGUUGUAAGUAAAAAUUCUGAAACUACUGCACUUAAAUCUUUAAGAACCUUUUUCUUUAAAAAAUCCUUUUUCAAUAAACAGCCUAAUUCUGUAACUCAUCUCUUUAAGUCCUGCACUACAAAAACCCAAACAAACAAAAAAACACCACUACACCACUAAACCGAACAAAAAUUAAAGAAAACAAAACAAAAUACCCUAACAACUUCUCAUUUUCAAUAGAAUUUCCAUUUUAGUAGACAUUAAUAAAUGAUCCUUGUAAUGGUGGGCUGGCUGAUUUUUAGUUGUGAGAAUCUUAAUGAUUUAUUAAACCUGCAAGAAUAACUACUCAAUUUGGGAAAAAAAGUACUCUACAGUUAACUGUUAGUUAUAUCUUGGGCUUGUUUCUAAGUCUUUAUGAUGACAUUUGAUAUGUAACCUAUUUGACUGACAGCAGAUGCCAUUUGAAGUGCUUAAACCAGAUGGAAGGGGGGGAUGGAAAUUAACAGAUGUUCUAAUAGUAAUUGAGCUGAAAUUAAUUUCAUGUUACACAGAACAAUUUUUGGAAAGAUAAGUCUUAUUUUAAGUACAAAUCUGUGGGAGAUCUACCUUUUUCAAAAUUCUACUAUUUUAUUUCCAUUUGAAACCUGAGGGAUGCCAUGCCAGUUGCUACCUAGCCAGAUUCUAUCCCAGUCUCUGACUUUUCAAACAGAGAUUUGUGUUCUUAGCAAACAAAAGGAGCACAGAAAUUUCUCAAGAGGGAGGUUUAAAAAAAAAUAAAUUAUGAGCUGUUUAUAUGGAGGACUCCAACUACAUAAAAUAGGAACUUGUUGUUGUUGUUGUUGUAAAGUAGAAAUAUUUCAAGUAUUGUUUGUUGAGACCAGGAGAAGGCAGCCAUUUUGUCCCAGCUCAGGAAAUGCUCUGCUAUGCUGACAAGGUGUAUUUCCAAAAGACUCCAACAUUUUUUGUGGUAGUGGUAUCGCCAAAUAUUAAGCAGUUAUUAUCAAGAGAAUGUUUGUUAAGCCAAAAAUACAUAGGGAAAUCACCUUUGUUUUUUCUGUCUCUAAUUCAGAUGUCAAAGUACACAGUAGAGCUGAUUGGAAAAUGGAGAUAGUUUCUCUGGAGAAAUAAUGCUGCACUGGAAAAACAUGAAUAUUGUUGUCAGGUGUUUCUGUCCAAAGCUAAAAUAAGUUUAUUUAGCAGUGUUGUGAUGUGUUAUGUCUUGGAUGCCUGAUGGGACCCCUCACUUAUUCCAUUAUAUGCCACCUCUGCGUGUAUGCAGUUGCUAGGUCUUAUCUAUAAGGUUUUGGGGAAGACUUAGGAAUUCUUUGGUCAUGCUGCAAUAUUGAAGAUGUUUUACAGCACAAGAACUAACAUAAGAAAAUUUGGGCCUUUAACAAUUGAAAUGGAAUUUGUGAUGUGUUUGUGAUGUGAUGUCAAUGCUGGAAUUUCAGGGCUUUUGUUACUGGUGAAGCAAGAUUUCCCUACAGAAGGAAUUACAUAUAGCAAUGUUAGUGGUGGGUUUUUACCUUCCCAGAAGACUCAGUUCUCUUUUUUGGAGGGUGGUUGUUUUGGCUUUUUUUUCCCCACAAACCUUACCAAAUGUUUAACCCUGUGAAACAUUCAUUUAUUGAUUAUGAAAUUAGAUAUAUAACUGAUAUGGAGUGAUUAUUACUCAUGAAGUUAUGUUCUUAGCCUGUGAAAAUGCAGUGCUGUUGUGUGGGCUUAUAAAAUUCUUUUUCAGUAGUGGUUGAGCUGUUAUUGAAGAUGCAUUGGGAUAUUCUUAUGGCAGUUUCAAUUAAGGUGUCUUAAAGAUACUAAAGUAAUCUUAGUUAAUUCACUGUUAAUCUGGUUUUACUAUAUCACUGAGAGCCUAGAGAUGUAUUUUUUUUACUUUUGUCUCAGCUGGGUUUUGUCUACUUAUAAUUUGUCUUUAAUAUACAGACAGCAGGAUCUCACAGAAUUGCAAUGUUUAAGCUCACAUUUUAAGUUUUAGGUAUGGUUUUAAUAUUUGUGGCUUUCUUUAAAAGUGUCAUACUUGAUCUAGUCCUACCUGACAAGGAUGAUUUUAGGGUUAUGAAGGUAUAAUAAUUUCUCAAGGUAAACAAUCACAAUUUCUUUCUGCUUAAUAAUGUAAACAUUUCUUGCUGUAACCAAGUCAUGUUCAUAUGUUCCUUACUGCCAGUGCUUGUUCUUUAGAAACAAAGAAAGAUUUUUUUAUAUUUUUCACUUGCCUUACUUAGGAAGUAAAUCCUUAUCAAUCUUGUUCUCUGUCUUGGGAUACCUCAGGAAUAAUUCUACUUUGAUGUUACAAAAGCUGUGGUAGGCAUCAUCUUAUGGAAUCAUCAUCUUAUUUGAGUAAGUUCUCCAGGGAGGUGCUGGAAUCACUGUCUCUGGAAGUGUUCAAGAGGUGUCUGGAUGUGACACUUGGAGAAUGAUUUAAGGAUGAUUAUGGUGGUGCUGGGUUGAUGGUUGGACUGGAUGAUCUUGAAGGUCCAGCCUUGGUGAUUCUGUGAUUCCAUGAUUAUUUACACCAGUGGAGGAGAUCUGCUUUCCCAAAAAGUAUAUGAAUCUUGGGAAAGAGGUUUGGUGGUAGGGGGAGGGUACAACUAUUUAUCUCUUUUCAAGAAUAAACUUGAGUGUAUCUUCACUCAGAGUCUCAGAUAAGACCAA